This 465-nucleotide ribosomal RNA is filed under the name uncultured bacterium. RNAcentral's name for it is "partial 16S ribosomal RNA". It matches the Rfam family "Bacterial small subunit ribosomal RNA", at positions 339 to 795 of the family's 1533-position model. The record is from RNAcentral.
CUACGGGACGCAGCAGUGAGGAAUCUUGCGCAAUGGGGGAAACCCUGACGCAGCCACGCCGCGUGGGUGAAGAAGGCUUUCGGGUCGUAAAGCCCUGUCAGGUGGGAAGAAACGCAUUGAGUCGAAUAAACUCUUUGCCUGACGGUACCACCAAAGGAAGCACCGGGUAACUCCGUGCCAGCAGCCGCGGUAAUACGGAGGGUGCAAGCGUUGUUCGGAAUUACUGGGCGUAAAGGGUGUGCAGGCGGCUACAUAAGUCGGAUGUGAAAGCCCUCGGCUUAACCGAGGAAGUGCAUCCGAUACUGUGUAGCUUGAGUCCCGGAGAGGGGGAUGGAAUUCCCGGUGUAGAGGUGAAAUUCGUAGAUAUCGGGAGGAACACCAGUGGCGAAGGCGAUCCCCUGGACGAGGACUGACGCUCAUACACGAAAGCGUGGGUAGCAAACAGGAUUAGAUACCCGUGUAGUC